UACGGGGGGGGUAAGCGUUGUUCGGAAUUACUGGGCGUAAAGGGCUCGUAGGCGGCCAACUAAGUCAGACGUGAAAUCCCUCAGCUUAACUGGGGAACUGCGUCUGAUACUGGAUGGCUUGGAUUCGGGAGAGGAAUGCGGAAUUCCAGGUGUAGCGGUGAAAUGCGUAGAUAUCUGGAGGAACACCGGUGGCGAAGGCGGCACUCUGGGCCGGUACUGACGCUGAGGAGCGAAAGCGUAGGGAGCAAACAGG
This 253-nucleotide ribosomal RNA is filed under the name uncultured bacterium. Its description in RNAcentral is "partial 16S ribosomal RNA". It matches the Rfam family "Bacterial small subunit ribosomal RNA", at positions 524 to 776 of the family's 1533-position model. The record is from RNAcentral.